RNAcentral lists this ribosomal RNA (502 nucleotides) under uncultured bacterium. Its description in RNAcentral is "bacterial SSU rRNA". It matches the Rfam family "Bacterial small subunit ribosomal RNA", at positions 10 to 507 of the family's 1533-position model. The record is from RNAcentral.
AGUUUGAUCAUGGCUCAGAUUGAACGCUGGCGGCAUGCGUAACACAUGCAAGUCGAACGGUGUCUGGUGCUUGCACCAGACAUAGUGGCGGACGGGUGAGUAAUGCGUAGGAAUCUGUCUUAGAGAGGGGGACAACCCGAGGAAACUUGGGCUAAAACCGCAUAUUCUCGAGAGAGGAAAGCAGGGGACCGGAAACGGCCUUGUGCUCUAAGGUGAGCCUACGUCGGAUUAGCUAGUUGGUAGGGUAAAAGCCUACCAAGGCGAUGAUCUGUGGCUGGUCUGAGAGGACGGACAGCCACACUGGGACUGAGACACGGCCCAGACUCCUACGGGAGGCAGCAGUGGGGAAUAUUGGACAAUGGGGGGAACCCUGAUCCAGCGAUGCCGCGUGUGUGAAGAAGGCCUGCGGGUUGUAAAGCACUUUCAGUGGGAAAGAGAAGCGUCUUGUGAAUAAUGGGACGUGGAGACGUUACUCACAGAAGAAGCACCGGCUAACUCUGUG